GACGAACGCUGGCGGCGUGCCUAAUACAUGCAAGUCGAGCGGACUUUCAAGAAGCUUGCUUUUUGAAAGUUAGCGGCGGACGGGUGAGUAACACGUGGGCAACCUGCCUGCAAGACGGGGAUAACUCCGGGAAACCGGGGCUAAUACCGGAUAAUAUCUUCCUUCGCAUGAAGGAAGGUUGAAAGGCGGCGCAAGCUGCCGCUUGCAGAUGGGCCCGCGGCGCAUUAGCUAGUUGGUGAGGUAACGGCUCACCAAGGCGACGAUGCGUAGCCGACCUGAGAGGGUGAUCGGCCACACUGGGACUGAGACACGGCCCAGACUCCUACGGGAGGCAGCAGUAGGGAAUCUUCCGCAAUGGACGAAAGUCUGACGGAGCAACGCCGCGUGAGCGAAGAAGGUCUUCGGAUCGUAAAGCUCUGUUGUCAGGGAAGAACAAGUACCGUUCGAACAGGGCGGUACUUUGACGGUACCUGACCAGAAAGCCACGGCUAACUACGUG
This 499-nucleotide ribosomal RNA is filed under the name uncultured bacterium. RNAcentral's name for it is "partial 16S ribosomal RNA". It matches the Rfam family "Bacterial small subunit ribosomal RNA", at positions 28 to 507 of the family's 1533-position model. The record is from RNAcentral.